CCUACGGGGGGCUGCAGUGGGGAAUAUUGCACAAUGGGCGCAAGCCUGAUGCAGCGACGCCGCGUGAGGGAUGACGGCCUUCGGGUUGUAAACCUCUUUCAGCAGGGACGAAGCGUGAGUGACGGUACCUGCAGAAGAAGCACCGGCCAACUACGUGCCAGCAGCCGCGGUAAUACGUAGGGUGCAAGCGUUGUCCGGAAUUACUGGGCGUAAAGAGCUCGUAGGCGGUUUGUCGCGUCGUCUGUGAAAACCAGCAGCUCAACUGUUGGCUUGCA
This 275-nucleotide ribosomal RNA is filed under the name uncultured Rhodococcus sp. Its description in RNAcentral is "partial 16S ribosomal RNA". It matches the Rfam family "Bacterial small subunit ribosomal RNA", at positions 338 to 625 of the family's 1533-position model. Lineage: Bacteria; Bacillati; Actinomycetota; Actinomycetes; Mycobacteriales; Nocardiaceae. The record is from RNAcentral.